Molecule: ribosomal RNA, 426 nt
Filed under: uncultured bacterium
Lineage: Bacteria
Description: bacterial SSU rRNA
Rfam family: Bacterial small subunit ribosomal RNA
Source: RNAcentral
GUGAGGAAUUUUCCGCAAUGGGCGAAAGCCUGACGGAGCAAUGCCGCGUGAAGGAUGAAGGCCUAUGGGUUGUAAACUUCUUUUCUCAGAAAAGAAUUAUGACGGUAUCUGAGGAAUAAGCAUCGGCUAACUCUGUGCCAGCAGCCGCGGUAAGACAGAGGAUGCAAGCGUUAUCCGGAAUGAUUGGGCGUAAAGCGUCUGUAGGUUGUUUAAAAAGUAUUCUGUCAAAGAUUAGGGCUUAACCCUAGAUAGGCAGAAUAAACUUUUAAGCUAGAGUUUGGUAGAGGCAGAGGGAAUUCCCGGUGGAGCGGUGAAAUGCGUAGAUAUCGGGAGGAACACCAAAGGCGAAGGCACUCUGCUGGGCCAAUACUAACACUGAGAGACGAAAGCGAGGGGAGCAAAUGGGAUUAGAAACCCUAGUAGUCC